RNAcentral lists this ribosomal RNA (806 nucleotides) under uncultured bacterium. Its description in RNAcentral is "bacterial SSU rRNA". It matches the Rfam family "Bacterial small subunit ribosomal RNA", at positions 8 to 796 of the family's 1533-position model. The record is from RNAcentral.
AGAGUUUGAUCCUGGCUCAGGAUGAACGCUGGCGGCGUGCCUAAUACAUGCAAGUCGAGCGAACGGACGAGAAGCUUGCUUCUCUGAUGUUAGCGGCGGACGGGUGAGUAACACGUGGAUAACCUACCUAUAAGACUGGGAUAACUUCGGGAAACCGGAGCUAAUACCGGAUAAUAUUUUGAACGGCAUGGUUCAAAAGUGAAAGACGGUCUUGCUGUCACUUAUAGAUGGAUCCGCGCUGCAUUAGCUAGUUGGUAAGAUAACGGCUUACCAAGGCAACGAUGCAUAGCCGACCUGAGAGGGUGAUCGGCCACACUGGAACUGAGACACGGUCCAGACUCCUACGGGAGGCAGCAGUAGGGAAUCUUCCGCAAUGGGCGAAAGCCUGACGGAGCAACGCCGCGUGAGUGAUGAAGGUCUUCGGAUCGUAAAACUCUGUUAUUAGGGAAGAACAUAUGUGUAAGUAACUGUGCACAUCUUGACGGUACCUAAUCAGAAAGCCACGGCUAACUACGUGCCAGCAGCCGCGGUAAUACGUAGGUGGCAAGCGUUAUCCGGAAUUAUUGGGCGUAAAGCGCGCGUAGGCGGUUUUUUAAGUCUGAUGUGAAAGCCCACGGCUCAGCCGUGGAGGGUCAUUGGAAACUGGAAAACUUGAGUGCAGAAGAGGAAAGCGGAAUUCCAUGUGUAGCGGUGAAAUGCGCAGAGAUAUGGAGGAACACCAGUGGCGAAGGCGACUUUCUGGUCUGUAACUGACGCUGAUGUGCGAAAGCGUGGGGAUCAAACAGGAUUAGAUACCCUGGUAGUCC